UACGGAGGGUGCAAGCGUCAAUCGGAAUUACUGGGCGUAAAGCGCACGUAGGUGGUUUACUAAGCCAGCUGUGAAAUCCCCGGGCUCAACCUGGGCACUGCAGUUGGAACUGGUAAGCUAGAGUAUGGUAGAGGGGUGUGGAAUUCCAGGUGUAGCGGUGAAAUGCGUAGAUAUCUGGAGGAACAUCAGUGGCGAAGGCGACACCCUGGACUAAUACUGACACUGAGGUGCGAAAGCGUGGGGAGCAAACAGG
RNAcentral lists this ribosomal RNA (253 nucleotides) under uncultured bacterium. RNAcentral's name for it is "partial 16S ribosomal RNA". It matches the Rfam family "Bacterial small subunit ribosomal RNA", at positions 524 to 776 of the family's 1533-position model. The record is from RNAcentral.